Molecule: long non-coding RNA, 2562 nt
Organism: Daucus carota subsp. sativus
Lineage: Eukaryota; Viridiplantae; Streptophyta; Magnoliopsida; Apiales; Apiaceae
Exons: 9
Source: RefSeq, a predicted model, not a curated record
AUCAUGAGGCGAUUAUUAUAUAAAAAUUAAAAGUACAAGAAUAUGUGAAUCAUCAAUGUAAAUUAUAAUUGCUGUUGCGUCUUUGCUACAGUAGUUUACACAUGCUAAGUUAUUGCCCGUGAACAUCCUUCUAAUUACAGGCUUGCCACUGCUUUUUAAUGGCCUGCAGAGUGACACGCAGGCGUCCAGUUUCUUCCACGCACGUGCAAGCAUUUUUCAAAACUUCACACACAGAAUCUAAACACACGGAGCUAAAAACACUGGAAAAAAAAUCAAAAAUUAAAAAAUAAAAAAUAAAUACAAAGUACACAAAAGAAGAAGAGAGCAUAGAAGAGAACGCCAAGCUUCCGCGCGAAGCCUUCUCGCCGCCUGCAAAGACGAUCACCCACCUGCAAUAUAUUGAACUCCGCACAAGACCUGUUUGAUUGUUUGUCUGUGAUAAUAAGAUGGAUAGAUACAACAAAUCAAUAUAUGAGGUUCUGUCUGAUAAAUAUAUGUUAACGUUACGCCAAUCUCUGAUGCACUUUGUUAUUUGGAUAUAAUUUCAACAAGAUCAGUUGAUUUAUGGCAAGGACUUGGGUUGUUAUGUUCUAUCAUUCAUGUGUUUGGCAUGUACUUUGGAGGCCUGCUUAUUGAGUUCACGGCCUGGUGACAUUGCUUUUGCUUUACCGAGAGGAAAAAUUGUUGUGCACAGAGGUUUGCUUCAAAAACUCAAUUCUGAUGCAGAGCUCCUUUUUCUAAAAGGUUAGAAGGCCUACAAACUUUUGAGGUCUCAGAACUAAAAACCGACACCCAUGUAUUUGCAGUUUACGGUUUGAAUUACUUCUUUUUUAUAAUUUAAAGCAUCCAAUGAGCUUACCCACAAGAAUGUAAUAGUUUUCUUAAUUUGUAUGCUAAGUGUUCUAUAACUAAUACAGGGGAUAAAGUCUUUGAAACUGCUACACAAUUAAAGUUCUGUGUACAAAGCCAUUAGAGGAUGCAAUGAGAAAGUUUAAUGAUAUUGGAGCUCAGACUCAAGUUACAAGCCAAAGAGUGCUAGAAAGAGGAAGAAAUUCGGAGAGAAAGAGAAUAUCUCAGGAAACUCGGUUAAUAGAUUUACUUUCCCCGUUUCUCCUCACACCAAAUAACCAUGUUAUAUCGUUCCCAACACAUGUAAGUCCUACCACUUUCAGUAAUAGUCCAGUUUAUCAACUGGAGGUAAUGUCAUUUGUGACGUUCACUUUGUGUGAUUCUAUGUCUAAUAGAUUGAAAUGUUUCGCAAUUUACACCUAUAUCUGUUUCUGUGUGUUUGCAAGGUCUUAGGAAGAGUAAUGUUGUUACCAGGACAGUAAUGUGACCACUCUAACCUUAUACAACUUUACUCUGCAAUACUAUUAAUUUUAGUGUUUAAUCAAGUUUCAUGCACUACUAUUUUUGGUAGAACCACAUGAUUCAUGCUUUUGUGAGUACAUUAUAUUUAAAUACUACGUUUGAUAGAUGCUCUAGGUCAUAUACAAAAUGUUCAGUCUUUGAAGUCUUCCAAAAAUGAUAGCGAGAAAGUACUAACCAAGUUUGAUCUGUUUGAUGGGAGGUAUACUAUUGUCAUUUUAAUCAUUUCUUUUAAUAGUUCGAUUGAUUUACACUAUAUAAUUUUGACUCAUUAAUUGGAAGAUACAUUGUACCUGUAACUCUAUUUGACGAUUUUGGAGUGGAGUUUGAACAAGCUUUAAAAUGUUCCGGUGAGCCUGAGGUGUAUGUCAUUAUUUGUGCGGCAAAGAUUAUAGUGUCAACCAGCUGAGGCAGAGAAUACUUGCCAUGAAAAAUGAAGAAGUCAAAUCUCCACCACCGGAAGAGGUCAAAUAUCAAACUCUAACUGUUAAGGAGAUUCAGUCAUUGAGAUCUGAAUCCAGCGACGCACCUUCAGUCAAUCUCCAAGAUGACAACAACGACACUCCACAUACUGCAAUUUCCUCACCAAAACACGACGUAGGGUGGCUGUUGAGCCUGUUGCUUUUGAUCCGAAAGGAGAAAUUCCAGCGAAAGUCAUGCGUCAUGAUAAGAAGAAGAAGGUCGGGAGAAAGCAGAAGCAAGAUCACUAAAGCAAGAAGCAGAGAAAGCUUUAAAGCAAAGAUUAACCUGUGAAGACAGAUUAGUCAGUAUGGAUGCUUCUCUGAAGGAGUGUAUGCAGCAGUUGCGUUUGCGCGAGAAGAGCAAGAAAAAAGGAUUUACGAUGCUAUUCUGAAGACAUCAAGAGAAUAUGAAGAAAGGAUAAUGGUGUUAGAAGAAAGGUUGGCGGAAACCAGUCAAAGAAUGUUGCUUCAUCUUUGUAUAAAAUAUAUCAGAGUGGCUAAACUCUGCACUGGGACGUUCAGAUCACUGGGUGCCAUCCAUGUCAAUAACAUUCUGAGAUACUUUAAAUUUUAUGAGAAGAAUUUGGGAUGUGUUAAUAGUAGUUGCUCACUCUAACAUUAUGUUAUAUCUACAAAGAUAAGAGCAUGAGAUUGUACACAUCUGUGUAGCAACGACUUAUGAUAUUGUAUAAAUCUGUAGAGAAACAUCUUCCUGAUGUGAAAUAGAAGAAGA